UACGUAGGGGGCAAGCGUUGUCCGGAUUUACUGGGCGUAAAGAGCGUGUAGGCGGCCACGCAGGUCCGUUGUGAAAACUGGAGGCUCAACCUCCAGCUGUCGACGGAAACCGUGUGGCUAGAGUCCGGAAGAGGAGAGUGGAAUUCCUGGUGUAGCGGUGAAAUGCGCAGAUAUCAGGAAGAACACCAAUGGCGAAGGCAGCUCUCUGGGCCAUACCUGACGCUGAGACGCGAAAGCGUGGGGAGCAAACAGG
Molecule: ribosomal RNA, 253 nt
Filed under: uncultured bacterium
Lineage: Bacteria
Description: partial 16S ribosomal RNA
Rfam family: Bacterial small subunit ribosomal RNA
Source: RNAcentral